Oncorhynchus tshawytscha (Chinook salmon) is the source of this 788-nucleotide long non-coding RNA. Lineage: Eukaryota; Metazoa; Chordata; Actinopteri; Salmoniformes; Salmonidae. The record is from Ensembl.
GAAAGAUACAUUUUACUAGUCAAUUUUAUGGGGAAGCCUGACUUUCCUUGGUAUCCAUGAAUACACACCACUGCUACCAGUAAGGGUGUUAUUUGAUGUAUCUCACACCAAUCAGAGAAAAAAGGUUCCUUUCUCUGUAACUGUGAGGCAAGAAGCCUACUGAUCACAGUACUGCACCAGUACUGUGUAUGCACCCCACUAUUCAUCUGUAUGUACUAUAUGUGAAUAUCUAGACUGCCUAGUCCAUUUCUCCUGUGUUUCAUUAGCUAUUUACUGUAAGAUAACUGACACUGUCCUCUUCCUUGACUCAACUUAUUGACAUGGCUUUACUGUAACUCGUAUGCAAAUGAGGAUGUGAAUUGAUACAUUUCACACCUACAUCAAUUAGCCUUUAGCUCAUACUGAUGUUGGAUCGUAUCAUUGUGGAAUAUUCUGGUAUAAUGAAUACUAUUUUGGAGAUGGUAUGUAUCUCAUGAUUCAAAGUAUGUAAAGAAACAGAAUGUUUAGUAACAAACUAUGUUUCCGGUUUUAAUUUCUAAAUGUGAAAAUGUUGUGUGGUUCUCUUUAGCCUAUUAAUCAACUCAAGUGAACGGAACCAGGCUGGACAUUGAGGGUUAGACCUUAGAAUCAAGCCGGAUUGCUCAACUACAUAAUGUUUGUUCGAGUUGUAAUCAUUAUUAUCCUGAUUGCAACACACAUUCUCUUGUGGAGGAGAACUCUGCAAAAAAGUCAGCAGGGUGAUUAAGUUUGACUUAGUUAUACUUUAUUCAAAAUAUAUGAUAUAUGAA